This is a long non-coding RNA of Bos taurus (domestic cattle), 447 nucleotides long. Lineage: Eukaryota; Metazoa; Chordata; Mammalia; Artiodactyla; Bovidae. The record is from Ensembl.
ACCUAGAGCACGGGGCUUCUGUGCCCCUGGCUACCUGAGUGCCUAUGAGCGUUCAGAACCGUGUGGGUUUCAGGCCCAGCUGCAAGCUCAUUGUAAGCACAGCCCUCCUGCUUGAUCUCAGGAAAGGAGCUCCACUUUACAGCCAGGUGGAGGCCCCAUGUGACGUGGCUCCUCCUGCUGCUCCUGGACUUUCUCCUUGGCAGCGCUCACCAGGCUCAGGGCUCUCUGUUAACCAGCUGUCCCCUUCUCUGGACUGGAAGCCCCACAGGGAGGGGAAUUCUGGUUCAUCGUGUUCACUUUAUCAUCAGGCCCUAGCACAGAUCCUGACGUGUACGUAUUUGUUAAACAAACACAAGGGAAUAAAUACAGGGAAUGAUAAAUGCUCUGGCAGUGAGAGUCCUCUAUGAUGAUCCUCUCUUCCCCGGGAUGACCUUACAUGGAGGUGGA